Molecule: ribosomal RNA, 715 nt
Filed under: Pseudomonas koreensis
Lineage: Bacteria; Pseudomonadati; Pseudomonadota; Gammaproteobacteria; Pseudomonadales; Pseudomonadaceae
Description: bacterial SSU rRNA
Rfam family: Bacterial small subunit ribosomal RNA
Source: RNAcentral
GGAGCUUGCUCCUGGAUUCAGCGGCGGACGGGUGAGUAAUGCCUAGGAAUCUGCCUGGUAGUGGGGGACAACGUUUCGAAAGGAACGCUAAUACCGCAUACGUCCUACGGGAGAAAGCAGGGGACCUUCGGGCCUUGCGCUAUCAGAUGAGCCUAGGUCGGAUUAGCUAGUUGGUGAGGUAAUGGCUCACCAAGGCGACGAUCCGUAACUGGUCUGAGAGGAUGAUCAGUCACACUGGAACUGAGACACGGUCCAGACUCCUACGGGAGGCAGCAGUGGGGAAUAUUGGACAAUGGGCGAAAGCCUGAUCCAGCCAUGCCGCGUGUGUGAAGAAGGUCUUCGGAUUGUAAAGCACUUUAAGUUGGGAGGAAGGGUUGUAGAUUAAUACUCUGCAAUUUUGACGUUACCGACAGAAUAAGCACCGGCUAACUCUGUGCCAGCAGCCGCGGUAAUACAGAGGGUGCAAGCGUUAAUCGGAAUUACUGGGCGUAAAGCGCGCGUAGGUGGUUUGUUAAGUUGGAUGUGAAAUCCCCGGGCUCAACCUGGGAACUGCAUCCAAAACUGGCAAGCUAGAGUAUGGUAGAGGGGUGGUGGAAUUUCCUGUGUAGCGGUGAAAUGCGUAGAUAUAGGAAGGAACACCAGUGGCGAAAGCGACCACCUGGACUGAUACUGACACUGAGGUGCGAAAGCGUGGGGAGCAAACAGGAUUAGAUAC